UAGAGAGGAAUAAGGGAUGUAUCUUAUCACUAUUCAAGGGAAAGAGAAGGAGCAUUGCAUGAUUAACUCUAGAGAUAUCCAAGGAAUAUAUCGUGAGUCAUUACGGGAAAAAGAGAUCAGAAAAUUCAAGACUUUGUCGUGAGAAAAUCAAGGCAACUUGGAGGAGAAUCCACUUCUAGAUGAAUGGCCAAGAUCACAUCACAAGAGAAGACCACCACUUCUUGACGCAAAAUUUAGUUCAUUAGCCAAGCUCUCUUCUCUCCAAAACCCUCUCCAAAAAUUCAGAAAAAGCCUCUUGCCAUGAAGAGCUUUAGGACUUCUCCAAGGCUGUUCAUGUUCUUGAAGGCCUAGCUGUGUGUUCUCUUGACGUUCUCCAAGCUUCCUUGAAUAUCAAAAAGUGAGUACCAUCAAUCCUCUGUUAGAACGAUCCCUACUUGCUUAUAUACUAACGAAUGACAACAAGGUUUGUAUCUCUUUGGCCUCCAUAGCCUGCAGACCCGCACUUUGAUUUGCAUAUCAUUCUGUAAAGGCCUGAAAUCUCGUAUCCUGACGGUUCACUAUUACCUGUCAAUAAUUACUAUAAAUGUGAGUAUAUACAUAGUAGAAGAAAUUGCAGGAUCGCUGUAGUUAUGUUUUGAGAAGGUAGUUGUAUUAAUAGCAAGCAUUCAAUGAAUAAAGUUGUUUAUGUUUUCAUGAUAAAAAUCUAAAAAACAGGUUUGAAUCAUACAAUAAAAGGAUUUGAUCGAAGAAAAGCGUUGUUACAGAGUUGAAAUGCAAAAUCAGUGCUUACACCUCGUAGUGUCACUACAGUCAUCGAAGGCCAUUCAUUUCUUUUACACCUCUUAGUACAUCUACAGUCAUCAAAAGUAUCAAGCAUAGUUUUCGGGAAACAAACAGGGAAAGAAAAAAACAGCAAUGGAAAAGGCAACCCAAGUGAUAAGCAAUGAAACUAAUUUACCUUGAUUUCUCUUUCUGUAUUGGUUGUACAUUGCUUGAUCUUAGGAUGUUUAUGUAUAAACUGCAAAUCUCUAGGAUCUAAACUGAUCAGCAGUCCUUUAAUUCUAUUUAUUGUAAUGGCUGAUCUCUAGGAUCUAAACUGAUCAGCAAUCAUGUAUAUAUUUGAAAUACAUCAAUGAGAAAUUGUGUGGAAAACACUUUACCCAAAUUUGUUUUAUGGUAUCAAGAGCCUUUGUCUAAAUGACAACUUCUCUUUUUUUCUUUCCGAUCUGUUUCCUUCCCUUCCCAUGGCUACCCCCACCAACACCACCACCACGACCACAUCAAACUUCCUCACUAUCAAACUAGACCGCACCAAUUACUCCUUAUGGUUAGCCCAGAUAACUCCUCUCCUCAAAAGUCGAAAUCUCAUGGGUUUUGUUGACGAAACAAAACCUUGUCCUCCGGCCUUUCUUCGGAAUGAGGCUGGUGAAUUAACUGACACCGUGAACCCUGCAAAUGAGGAAUGGAUAGCUACUGAUCAAAUGAUCCUUGGAUGGAUCAAUGGCUCCCUCACACCUUCUGUCCUGACCACCGUUUCCCGCUCCAUUGCUUCCCACACUACCUGAACAUCUCUUGCACGGUGAUAUGCUUCACAGAAUCACAACUGUAUUCUCCAACUUCGUGGCAACCUUCUCCGCACUACUAGAGGUGAUCUUUCCAUCUUUGAUUACUUGAAUAAGAUCAAUCAGAUUGCCGACUCACUUGCUUUAUCCGGGCACUCGGUUGAUGGCUCCGACUUUAUCUCCAUCAUUAUGAACAAUGUUGGAACUCUCUAUGAGAACACCAUUAGCUCUGCUCAAGCCCGUGCAUGACACGCCAAUCACUUAUGAUGCUCUUGAAGCAUUGCUUUAGGGAGCCGAAAGUCGCCUAAAAAAUCAAGCACUAGUUGGACUAGAGUCAACUCCCACUGCACUCUUAACUCACAAACACCAAGUUGGUGGCUCUCGUGGACGCGGUACAUUCUCUAGAUCUCAAAGAGGCCGCCCCAACACGCGUGGAUCCUUCUCUGGUCCUUCCACAUAUGGCCAUGGUUCCAGCUCGCGGUUUCCAUCUCGUGGUGGUUCUAUUCUUGGUCCAGCUCCAUUUCCUCGACCUCCCUCUACCUAUGACUCUAGCGGCCCAUGCCAAAUCUGCAACCGCAACGGUCAUACAGCAUCGAUUGCUUCUAUAGACUCAACAUGGCUUAUGAAGGUCGAACACCAAGCACCCGUCUGCCUGCCAUGGCUGCGGCUACGACCUCUCACCAUGAUCCCUCUGCUUGGCUUCUAGACACCGGCUCAAAUACCCACAUCACCAAUAAUCCUCAUAUAUUACCACAUCCUCAAGAAUACCAUGGUUCCGACACGGUUGUCGGCGUUGUCUCAGGUCAUGGUUUGCAUAUUUCGAAAAUUGGAAAUACAUCUUUCCCUUCUUCUCACUGUCCUAUAACUCUUUAUGAUGUUCUUUAUUGCCCA
This is a long non-coding RNA of Rosa rugosa (rugosa rose), 2453 nucleotides long. RefSeq lists it as uncharacterized. Lineage: Eukaryota; Viridiplantae; Streptophyta; Magnoliopsida; Rosales; Rosaceae. The transcript is spliced from 3 exons. The record is from RefSeq and is a predicted model, not a curated record.